Long non-coding RNA from Labeo rohita (rohu), 902 nucleotides. RefSeq lists it as uncharacterized. Lineage: Eukaryota; Metazoa; Chordata; Actinopteri; Cypriniformes; Cyprinidae. The record is from RefSeq and is a predicted model, not a curated record. The transcript is spliced from 4 exons.
GAUGGCAGCGCCCUUGUCGUCACUAUCGAGUAGUGAAGAGGAUGAAAUUAUUGUCAGACCUCCACCAAAAGUCAGUAAAAGGGUUUAUAAACAAUGCUAUAUGCAUCUCACGUCCAUAAAAAAAGAAGAAACGAAGGAUUUUACACGCACACGGUGGAAUACAUUUAGAAACUGCAUCAAACGGUGGCUUGACUUGCAAGGGUGAGAGUCAGAAAAUAGCAGAAACAUACAAACAUUGUCUAGAAAUCGCGUUUGACCGUGUGCCCGAAGACGCAGGGUUUCACUCCACUUGCUACCGGCGUUUUAUUGACAAAAAGCGCUUGGAUGCGGCCGAGAAACGAGUGUUCGGGUUUGCAAGAAAACGGACAAGUACAUCACUGUGGCAGGCAAACGCCAGAAGGACAAUCUUUCACAAGCGGAGACACUGUCGGCAGGCCAGUUGCUCAAAGCAGCUGAGAUGAAGGAAGACACUAGCAUUCUUGUGCAUAUUAAAGACAAAGACUGUGUGUCUCUUGAAGUACGAUAUCACAAGUCCUGUUACAGACAGUACACCAGGUUCUUGACAAAGUCUACUGGAACAAAUACACAGACCUCAGAAGAACAAAAUGAGCCAACCUAUGAUGUCAGCUACAAGAUCUUCUCUGAGAGAAUCAUCCGCCAUCGAAUAAUUGUAAACCAAGAGGCAGGAUAAAUUGAAGAGGAGGCUGUCCCGUGAUUUCCCCCAGCUGGUGUUUCACUCUCCCAACAAGCGCAACAUCAGUGAAUUGGUUUUUGUUGAGACACUUUCUGCAGAUAAGCUGGUAGACAGAAUACCUCAUCCAUCAGGUACAGAAACAACUGAGUCAACGGAAGUAACUAGUCAAAGUGACGGUGAAAGCACAGCAAGUAGAAUAGCUGGUACU